Molecule: long non-coding RNA, 804 nt
Organism: Halichondria panicea
Lineage: Eukaryota; Metazoa; Porifera; Demospongiae; Suberitida; Halichondriidae
Exons: 3
Source: RefSeq, a predicted model, not a curated record
CACACUCAGGUUGCUGUUCACUAUGCAGCCUCUCACUGACUUGCGUUUCCUCUCUCCAGUGCAUCUGGGUCUGCUCCAUGGUGUGUUCGGCUAGACCAAAACCACCUCACUCUUGCCCCGCAAUACUCUACCCUCUUUUAAAAUUACUAACAAAACAUGGAGAAAGCUGUUCCAGAGUUUUGAUGAUCUUUACCACACACACUCGCAGAAUUGACUGGUGGAGGGAAAGCGAUCGUUUGGCGAUCUCUAUAGGAGCUUCCGCAGAACAUUAGGUAAUACUCCAGUAAAUAGCUAGUGGCAGUAGAUAAUGUGGCUUUUCAUGCAGUAGAGUGUAUAGGACGGCCAUUAAUAAAAAGGACUCCCUUAAUUAUGGAGUAUUAAAAUUUUUAUGAUUUCUCUAGUACCUAGAGGUAUUGUAGCCUCGAUCCCAGGCUGCAUGCACUUUUCUCAAGGCCUAUGAGGAGGCUAGGAGUAUUGUAGCCAUGCUUACGUAGGUAUUCACUCAAUUGUGUUGACAGGAUUGUCUUCUUUCAAAUCAGAGGCACGUACAUACCCUGGUUCUAUUGAGAAACUCUAUGAUGAUGGUGGAGUCAGUGGAUCCCGUCGGACAUUAAUUAAACCCCCUCAUCGACAAUUCACUGUUUCUAUCACCACACACCCUGCAUGUUUACUGAACAUUUAAUUAUCUCUGUUAUAAAACACGUACCCCCCACACACACACACAUACCCCCCACACAAAUUAUCUCUGUUAUGAUUACAAAUUUGCCUUCAUGAGAACAAUUCUGUAUGGUGUUGCAUUGCAGC